CGCUUAUUGUAUAUUUAUAUUAAGUUUUACCUGCUCAAUGAUAUUAAACAUUAAAUAGCCGCAGUAUUUUGACUGUGCAAAGGUAGCAUAAUCAUUUGUCUUUUAAUUGUGGACUUGUAUGAAUGGUUUGAUGAAAUAUUUACUUUCUUUAUCUAAAAUCAUUUAAUUUAAUCUUUUAGUUAAAAAGCUAAAAUGACUUUAUAGGACGAGAAGACCCUAUAGAAUUUUAUAAAUCUUUAUAUAAUUUAUUUAUAGUUAUUUUUAAUAAAAUAUAUUUAUAUUUAUUUUGUUGGGGUGACAGGGAAAUUUAAUUAACUUUCUUUAUUAAAAUGUUAUUGAUUUAUAUAUUUAUAAUCCUAUUUUAAGGAUAUUAAGAUUAAAUUACCUUAGGGAUAACAGCGUAAUUUUUUUGGAGAGUUCUUAUCAAUAAUAAAGUUUGCGACCUCGAUGUUGGAUUAAAAUUAGUAUUAGGUGUAGUUGCUUAAUUUACUAGGUCUGUUCGACCUUUAAUAUUUUACA
Molecule: ribosomal RNA, 519 nt
Filed under: Lindbergicoris hochii
Lineage: Eukaryota; Metazoa; Arthropoda; Insecta; Hemiptera; Acanthosomatidae
Description: partial 16S rRNA
Rfam family: Bacterial large subunit ribosomal RNA (bases 392-519)
Source: RNAcentral